UUUCCGUAGGUGAACCUGCGGAAGGAUCAUUGUCGAAACCUGCCCAGCAGAACGACCCGCGAACUCGUAUAAACAACCGGGGGCGGGGGGCGUUCUCGCCCCGUGCCCCCGAACGGCGGGGAGACACCCGUGCCUUCUUGCCGAACAACGAACCCCGGCGCGGUCUGCGCCAAGGAACUUCAACUAAAGAGUGCCUCCGGUCGCCUCGGAAACGGCGUGCGUGCCGGGGGCGAAUCUUGUGCAAAACCAUAACGACUCUCGGCAACGGAUAUCUCGGCUCUC
Molecule: unclassified non-coding RNA, 282 nt
Filed under: plant metagenome
Description: partial contains small subunit ribosomal RNA, internal transcribed spacer 1, and 5.8S ribosomal RNA
Source: RNAcentral